ACCUUCAGCUCAAACAAUAGGGACUGAAAUAAUUUCUGCCUUAAGAGCUUUCCUGCGACUGGAACACCAGGGUUCAGAGGCUGGAGGUUCACUCAUCUGUUGCUCUAGACAUGCUAAUGAAAUGCUGAUUAAGCUACAAAAUAGACUCGCCGAAAUUUCCUGAAGGUGUGAGACCUGAGAAGAUGCGAGGUACAGCAUAGCCAACCCUGUGACUUCACUGAAUAAUUCCACAGAGUAUAAAGUGUGACAGCACCUCUCUGCACAUGACAGAAGAUUACAGCUAAAAGCGAGGUGAAGGGACGAUUU
Nothoprocta perdicaria is the source of this 306-nucleotide long non-coding RNA. RefSeq lists it as uncharacterized. Lineage: Eukaryota; Metazoa; Chordata; Aves; Tinamiformes; Tinamidae. The transcript has 3 exons. The record is from RefSeq and is a predicted model, not a curated record.